This 266-nucleotide ribosomal RNA is filed under the name uncultured archaeon. RNAcentral's name for it is "partial 16S ribosomal RNA". It matches the Rfam family "Archaeal small subunit ribosomal RNA", at positions 717 to 982 of the family's 1478-position model. The record is from RNAcentral.
AGACGUCUACAUUACGAUACCCCGGUAGUCCCAGCCGUAAACUAUGCUCGCUAGGUGUCAGGCAUGGCGCGACCGUGUCUGGUGCCGCAGGGAAGCCGUGAAGCGAGCCACCUGGGAAGUACGGCCGCAAGGCUGAACUUAAGGAAUUGGCGGGGGAGCACAACAACGGGUGGAGCCUGCGGUUUAAUUGGACUCAACGCCGGACAACUCACCGGGGGACGACAGGCAAUAUGUAGGCCAGGCUGAAGACCUUGUCUGAAUCGCUG